RNAcentral lists this long non-coding RNA (1527 nucleotides) under Ficedula albicollis (Collared flycatcher). RNAcentral's name for it is "lncRNA (ENSFALG00000027145.1)". The record is from RNAcentral. Lineage: Eukaryota; Metazoa; Chordata; Aves; Passeriformes; Muscicapidae.
CCCUGAGUGACCCAUAAAGAUGAUAAAGAAGCAGAAUGAACACUGAAAUUAAGAUAAUUCCCCCCUUAUUUACAGUACAAAAAUUUUAUUUUUUUUUUGUUAGGAUAAUUUAAAGUUUAAAACGGAAGUAGACAUAUUCAUUUUACAAACAAGAUAUUCUUCCAUAAGUAGGACCAUUAAAAACAGUAAACAAAAAAACCAAAAAAAGCCAUCUUUACAAAAGCUCUGUGCAUAGCAACUUCAUACUGUAUAUAACUGACAAAGCAAAAAAAAAAAACAAAACAAAAACAAAACCAAAAAAACAACCAGCCAACCCCAAAACUAUACAGGAGGGAGAAAAUGAGGCCUUAAUUUACAGGAAAUGGUUUGGAGAAACCAUGCAUAUUGGAAGUGUGCAAAGAAAGAGGGAGAGGAAGAUGCUCUACCGAGAUAAAUUAGGAGAUCAAACCAACUUUCCCAAAGUCACGAUGAAAAUUGUCGUUACCUAUUGCAACACUUUUGUAUUCCCAGUGGCAAAGAGGAAAACUCUCAGGGAACUGGCAGCAGCAAGCACUCAAAGAGGACAGGUUUGCUUGUGACACUGAAAAAAUCCCCACACAUCAAUUCCGAAAUCAUCAUUCCCCUUUUUCUUGAGUGUUUUGCCACUGCCAAGGUCCCUUUUCAUGGCCAAGGAUUUGAUUGUGUUUAUUUACAGGUGUUUUUCUCUGUAACCUCAGUUAAUUCUACACUCAUCUCCAGUACCAUGAUUUCCCUGCAUGAGCAAAAUCCGUGUCCGAAAUAAUUUCUGGGUUUAAUUGGUUCUCAUGAUUUUGGCUCAAAGCAAACCAGAUUUUUCAUAUUUGCAUCAACACAGGCAGUUCCUCUUCUGCAAGUGUUUGGAGCAGCUUUUUAGAGAGGUUUCUCUUUUUCACUUGGACUUGUAGCAAUUGGGCAACUGGACAAAACUGAUAAAAACAACUGAAGGGUGAAAGGAAUGUUCAGUGCUCCAGAAACUUUCAUCUUUUUCUAUUUUUUAUUGCCAGACUGUCAUUUUCCCCCUGAAUCUUCCCAAGAUUUCAAUGAUGUGAUAGAUCCUUUUUUUUUUUUUUAAUGUGCCUGUGCUGAAUAAGCAAAAAUAAAACAGAAGGAUGGACAAAACCCAGCUUUUCCCAUUUUUUUUUUAACUGGAAACUUUCCUGACUGAGAUUUUGUAAUGAAAUCCCAUUUGUUACAAAAGAGGAUCUAAGGUAGCAAACUUCUGCUCUCCAGCAGAUGGUCUAGGAAUUCCUACUGAUCUGGAAUAUUCGCCAGACAGGAUGUUGAGUUUAUUUGAUGAUCAAUUUUAGGAAUAGCCCAUUCAGAGAAGGGCAGGGGGAAUACUCACCAUCUUCAUUCUUUGGAGCUGUUUAGGGUUUUCACUAGGUGGGAAUGGAGGAAGGGAUUUGAUAGAACGAGCCUGGUCCACCAAGACAAUUUUUGGAUUUAGGACUCAAUGUGUUUUCACUGAAAUUUGUGGAAGUUUUAAUCCCAGAUCUUCCAGUCCUUAAU